UUACCUUGUUACGACUUAGUCCCUCUUACUCCCCUCACCUUCGAACGCUCUCUCCUUGCGGUUAAGCCACGCACUUCGGGUGAAGACAAUUCAAGUGACUUGACGGGCGGUGUGUACAAGACCCGGGAACGUAUCAAACGCAGUAUAGCUGACCUGCUUUUACAAGCGAUCCCCCCCCCAAUAUAGUGGAAGUCCGCCUUCAUGCAGUCGAGUUGCAGACUGCAAUCUGAACUGGGGGCGUAUUUUUGGGAUUUGCUCCACCUCGCGGUAUUGCUGCCCUUUGUUUCGCCCAUUGUAGCAUGUGUGAAGCCCCAGACGUAACUGCCAUGCUGACUUGACGUCAUCCCCACCUUCCUCCGGCUUACACCGGCGGUCUCCUGUGAGUGCCCAUCUUUCAUGCUGGUAACACAGGACGAGGGUUGCGCUCGUUGGCGGACUUAACCGUACACCUCACGGCACGAGCUGACGACAGCCAUGCAACAAGUGUCUUCACGUCCCUUGUUAGGGAGGAGCCCAUUUCUGGACUUUGCGAUCGA
RNAcentral lists this ribosomal RNA (536 nucleotides) under uncultured bacterium. RNAcentral's name for it is "partial 16S ribosomal RNA". The record is from RNAcentral.